This 19-nucleotide small nuclear RNA is filed under the name Arabidopsis thaliana (thale cress). RNAcentral describes it as "snRNA_02588". Lineage: Eukaryota; Viridiplantae; Streptophyta; Magnoliopsida; Brassicales; Brassicaceae. The record is from RNAcentral.
UUUUACUUUUUACUUUUUG